This is a non-coding RNA of Hymenopellis radicata, 92 nucleotides long. The record is from the annotation of a GenBank genome assembly. Lineage: Eukaryota; Fungi; Basidiomycota; Agaricomycetes; Agaricales; Physalacriaceae.
GCCCGUUUAGCUCAGUGGUAGAGCGCGCCACUCGUAUCGUCUAAAUGAGCAUUGCGAUGGUGAGGUCGGUUGUUCAAUCCAGCCAGUGGGCA